Molecule: long non-coding RNA, 621 nt
Organism: Camelus dromedarius (Arabian camel)
Lineage: Eukaryota; Metazoa; Chordata; Mammalia; Artiodactyla; Camelidae
Exons: 3
Source: RefSeq, a predicted model, not a curated record
UACCUUCAGCUGUUUUAUGAAAGUCCUCCAAGUGGAUGAAAGUAUCAACAACCGGAACAAGAGUUUUUCAUUGCCCUAUUUGAGAAGAGCUGCGUGAACGACUUUUAUAUUCAGGAUAGAGAUACAUUCAUCAAUCCAACCACCAGGAGCCGCACUUGCAACUUCAGCCUCCAUCAGAGGACCUCAGCUGCCCCAGCGAACAGGGCCUUCUGUACAGGGAAUGUGCUCCUCCUCGAAGCAUAGACAAGAAGCAGCCCUUAGAUCUCAUCAGGAAAUUCUACGGAGAGAAGGUCGGAAUCUACUUUGCUUGGGCUGGGCUAUUACAUUCAGAUGCUCCUCCUGGCAGCAGUCGUGGGGGUGACUUGAUUUCUGUAUGUAUAUUUUAAUCAAAAUAACUGUACUUAGAGGUAACUUCUCUUUAUUCCUUGUUACGGUGCUUACUUAACUUAGAAUGACAUUCUCCAGGAGCAUCCACGUUGCUGCAAAUGGCCCUAUAUUGUCAGUUUUUAUAGCCGAGUGGUUUUCCAUUGUAUAAAUAUACCACUUCUUUAGCCAGUCAUCCGUUGAUGGACAUUUAGGCUAUCUCCAUGUCUUGGCUAUUGUAAAUAGUGCUGCUAUGUA